AGCAGUACUAGAAGAACUCAUUAGUCAUUAUGCUGCUGAGAGAAAGAAAAGAACUCAACUAUUUGUACAAUCAUUGAUCAAGAAAAGAAAUAACUAUCUGGAAACAGUUUAUAAUGUGAGAGUCAACAUGGUCAAGUUAUGAGAGAUGAGAUGAUGAAGACUCCAUUUGAUAUUGAUUUGAGUGUUUUUGUUGCUAUGAGUGACUCCAUGCAUGCUGUAAUAGAUUAUGUUGCACUCCAAAAUAAUGUUAUAUACAAA
Molecule: long non-coding RNA, 258 nt
Organism: Amphimedon queenslandica
Lineage: Eukaryota; Metazoa; Porifera; Demospongiae; Haplosclerida; Niphatidae
Exons: 2
Source: RefSeq, a predicted model, not a curated record